Long non-coding RNA from Syngnathoides biaculeatus (alligator pipefish), 774 nucleotides. RefSeq lists it as uncharacterized. NCBI's taxonomy places the organism in Eukaryota, Metazoa, Chordata, Actinopteri, Syngnathiformes, Syngnathidae. The record is from RefSeq and is a predicted model, not a curated record. The transcript is spliced from 4 exons.
GAAAAGGAGAGAAAAAAGCGAGAUGGAGUGCAAGAUAGGAGUGGUGGUUGGAGGGCAACAAAGUGGCCACUCCAAUGGAGCACGAGGAAGUGAGGCUGGCUUCUGGUUAGCUGGAGGGGUUCCCACAGCGCUGAACAUUGCCUUUGUUCUUAAAAAUGGCAGCUCAGGGUGUACCCUGCCUCCAGCACUCCUGUGACCCUUGUGAGGAGCCAAACCACCAUGGGUACCAUGAGUUGAAGGAGACUGCACCAUUUAGUCAUUACUAGGCCUCCUAUGGACUGAAUCAAUGUGAAAACUUGGGAAGGAAGGCUUUGGACACUCUAAAUUAGUACUAUAUCCACAAAGCAUGUGACACAAAUUCUAGUUUGCCUCAAGAUUCAUGUGAGUGAAGUUAUAAUUACCCUUUUGUACUGAGAAAGUUGACAUUGUUUUUCAUUUAUCCCUCUCUCCCAGCUACUCACAAAUACAACACAUAUAAAAGCUCGGUCAUAUCACAUUGACUGUACUGUGCAGAAAAAACAACACUGAGUCCAAGUUUAAGUAAAAUAGAGGGACAUGAACUUAUUCAGAGUUGUACUCGUUUUCAUGCAUUAACUUUGAUAAAAUGAGUAAAAUUAUUACGUGAAUUUAAGCUGUGUAUUUAUACUGCGUGAUACUACAUAAACAAUAUUCGAGUCCAUACUGUCUUAUUGUGUUUGAAGGGGUUCAAAGAAUAGCAAGGCAUAUUCCAUGAUGCAAGGAUUUAUUAACAACUGAAGCCAACGAGCUUCUAAA